This 440-nucleotide ribosomal RNA is filed under the name uncultured Shewanella sp. RNAcentral describes it as "bacterial SSU rRNA". It matches the Rfam family "Bacterial small subunit ribosomal RNA", at positions 358 to 790 of the family's 1533-position model. Lineage: Bacteria; Pseudomonadati; Pseudomonadota; Gammaproteobacteria; Alteromonadales; Shewanellaceae. The record is from RNAcentral.
GGAAUAUUGCACAAUGGGGGAAACCCUGAUGCAGCCAUGCCGCGUGUGUGAAGAAGGCCUUCGGGUUGUAAAGCACUUUCAGUAGGGAGGAAAGGGUGUAACUUAAUACGUUAUAUCUGUGACGUUACCUACAGAAGAAGGACCGGCUAACUCCGUGCCAGCAGCCGCGGUAAUACGGAGGGUCCGAGCGUUAAUCGGAAUUACUGGGCGUAAAGCGUGCGCAGGCGGUUUGUUAAGCGAGAUGUGAAAGCCCUGGGCUCAACCUAGGAAUAGCAUUUCGAACUGGCGAACUAGAGUCUUGUAGAGGGGGGUAGAAUUCCAGGUGUAGCGGUGAAAUGCGUAGAGAUCUGGAGGAAUACCGGUGGCGAAGGCGGCCCCCUGGACAAAGACUGACGCUCAUGCACGAAAGCGUGGGGAGCAAACAGGAUUAGAUACCCUGG